GACCCCUACGGGACGCAGCAGUGAGGAAUAUUGGUCAAUGGGCUUACGCCUGAACCAGCCAAGUCGCGUGAGGGAAGACUGCCCUAUGGGUUGUAAACCUCUUUUGUCAGGGAGCAACGCCGGCUACGUGUAGCCGGACUGAGAGUACCUGAAGAAGAAGCCCCGGCUAACUACGUGCCAGCAGCCGCGGUAAUACGUAGGGGGCAAGCGUUAUCCGGAUUUACUGGGUGUAAAGGGAGCGUAGGUGGCAUGGCAAGCCAGAAGUGAAAACCCGGGGCUUAACCCCGCGGAUUGCUUUUGGAACU
Molecule: ribosomal RNA, 305 nt
Filed under: uncultured bacterium
Lineage: Bacteria
Description: bacterial SSU rRNA
Rfam family: Bacterial small subunit ribosomal RNA
Source: RNAcentral